ACGAUGAUAUCACUGCUUGCAGUGAUUGAUUAGUGGCGAACGGGUGAGUAACACGUGAGGAACUUGCCCAUGAGCGGGGGACAACAUUCGGAAACGGAUGCUAAUACCCCAUAGGUGGAUUGGUCGCAUGACGAAUUCAUUAAAGGUGGCUUUGCUACCACUCAUGGAUAGCCUCGCGGCGUAUUAGCUAGUUGGUAAGGUAAUGGCUUACCAAGGCAAUGAUACGUAGCCGACUUGAGAGGGUGAUCGGCCACACUGGGACUGAGACACGGCCCAGACUCCUACGGGAGGCAGCAGUAGGGAAUCUUCCACAAUGGGUGCAAACCUGAUGGAGCAAUGCCGCGUGAGUGAAGAAGGUCUUCGGAUCGUAAAGCUCUGUUGUUAGAGAAGAACACGUGCUAGGUAACUACUAGCGCCUUGACGGUAUCUAACCAGAAAGUCACGGCUAACUACGUGCCAGCAGCCGCGGUAAUACGUAGGUGACAAGCGUUGUCGGGAUUUAUUGGGCGUAAAGGGAGCGCAGGCGGUCUGUUUAGUCUAAUGUGAAAGCCCACGGCUUAACCGUGGAACGGCAUUGGAAACUGACAGACUUGAAUGUAGAAGAGGAAAAUGGAAUUCCAAGUGUAGCGGUGGAAUGCGUAGAUAUUUGGAGGAACACCAGUGGCGAAGGCGAUUUUCUGGUCUAACAUUGACGCUGAGGCUCGAAAGCGUGGGGAGCGA
RNAcentral lists this ribosomal RNA (720 nucleotides) under uncultured Carnobacteriaceae bacterium. Its description in RNAcentral is "bacterial SSU rRNA". It matches the Rfam family "Bacterial small subunit ribosomal RNA", at positions 66 to 771 of the family's 1533-position model. Lineage: Bacteria; Bacillati; Bacillota; Bacilli; Lactobacillales; Carnobacteriaceae. The record is from RNAcentral.